GAUGAACGCUGGCGGCGUGCCUAAUACAUGCAAGUCGAGCGAACAGACGAGGAGCUUGCUCCUCUGACGUUAGCGGCGGACGGGUGAGUAACACGUGGAUAACCUACCUAUAAGACUGGGAUAACUUCGGGAAACCGGCGCUAAUACCGGAUAAUAUAUUGAACCGCAUGGUUCAAUAGUGAAAGACGGUUUUGCUGUCACUUAUAGAUGGAUCCGCGCCGCAUUAGCUAGUUGGUAAGGUAACGGCUUACCAAGGCAACGAUGCGUAGCCGACCUGAGAGGGUGAUCGGCCACACUGGAACGGAGACACGGUCCAGACUCCUACGGGAGGCAGCAGUAGGGAAUCUUCCGCAAUGGGCGAAAGCCUGACGGAGCAACGCCGCGUGAGUGAUGAAGGUCUUCGGAUCGUAAAACUCUGUUAUUAGGGAAGAACAAAUGUGUAAGUAACUAUGCACGUCUUGACGGUACCUAAUCAGAAAGCCACGGCUAACUACGUG
This 497-nucleotide ribosomal RNA is filed under the name uncultured bacterium. RNAcentral describes it as "partial 16S ribosomal RNA". It matches the Rfam family "Bacterial small subunit ribosomal RNA", at positions 28 to 507 of the family's 1533-position model. The record is from RNAcentral.